UGGUGGUUCUUUCAAAAUCAAAACAGAGAGAAUAAAAAAAACACAAACUUGUAAACUUUAUUUAUUAUUUACUGUAAUGUAAUCUCUCUAUAACAACACCACCUACGUAUUGGCCUUAUUGCUUACGGCGUAUUUAUACAUAUAUGGAAAGAUCCUGUGUCCUUCCCUACAUAUAAAGAUUCUGUUUUUCCAGUUUUUUUUUUGUUUUUUUUCUGAAUCAGAUCCUUAUUCUUGACCCCUUUCGAUCAGAUUCAUGGCAACGACUCAAUCACACACCUCAGAUCUUACUUCUGGUAAAGGCAAAGUGUGAUCGUGGAAUCAAGGCUAUGAAGAGGAGGAUGUUCUAGAUGCUUUGUUGUUUGCUAUGUGUCUUUGUUAGGAUGCUAAAGUGGAAUUUAGUGGUCUAGAACGCAUGUUAGGAUUGCUGGUUUAUAAUUUAUUUUAUGUUCAGGAUUGUUAUUGGAAUGGUGUUAUGUUAUUUCCUUUAAUGGUUAUUGGUUAUUGGAUUCAUUA
This is a long non-coding RNA of Camelina sativa (false flax), 513 nucleotides long. RefSeq lists it as uncharacterized. The record is from RefSeq and is a predicted model, not a curated record. NCBI's taxonomy places the organism in Eukaryota, Viridiplantae, Streptophyta, Magnoliopsida, Brassicales, Brassicaceae.